CCUACGGGAGGCAGCAGUAAGGAAUCUUCCACAAUGGACGAAAGUCUGAUGGAGCAACGCCGCGUGCAGGAUGAAGGCUUUCGGGUCGUAAACUGCUUUUAUAUGGGAAGAUUAUGACGGUACCAUAUGAAUAAGGACCGGCUAACUACGUGCCAGCAGCCGCGGUAAUACGUAGGGUCCAAGCGAUAUCCGGAAUUACUGGGCGUAAAGCGUGUGUAGGUGGAUUAAUAAGUGUGAUGCGAAAUCCGGCGGCUCAACCGUUUGGACUGUGUCGCAUACUGUUAGUCUAGAGGACGGCAGAGGUAAGUGGAAUUACGGGUGUAGCAGUGAAAUGCGUAGAUAUCCGUAGGAACACCAAUGGCGAAGGCAGCUUACUGGGCCACACCUGACACUGAGACACGAAAGCGUGGGGAGCGAACAGGAUUAGAUACCCUGGUAGUCCACGCCGUAAACGAUGCAUACUAUUAGUAUGGGGUAUCGACCCCCUGUGCUGAGAAGCUAACGCGAUAAGUAUGCCGCCUGGGGAGUACGAGCGCAAGCUUAAAACUCAAAGGAAUUGACGGNGNGAGAGCGCGAGACGACGACGAGGAGAGG
This 594-nucleotide ribosomal RNA is filed under the name uncultured bacterium. RNAcentral describes it as "bacterial SSU rRNA". It matches the Rfam family "Bacterial small subunit ribosomal RNA", at positions 338 to 946 of the family's 1533-position model. The record is from RNAcentral.